AGCAGCCGCCGCGGGAAUACAGAGGGUGCGAGCGUUAAUCGGAUUUACUGGGCGUAAAGCGUGCGUAGGCGGCUUCUUAAGUCGGAUGUGAAAUCCCUGAGCUUAACUUAGGAAUUGCAUUCGAUACUGGGAAGCUAGAGUAUGGGAGAGGAUGGUAGAAUUCCAGGUGUAGCGGUGAAAUGCGUAGAGAUCUGGAGGAAUACCGAUGGCGAAGGCAGCCAUCUGGCCUAAUACUGACGCUGAGGUACGAAAGCAUGGGGAGCAAACAGGAUUAGAGACCCCAGUAGUCCCUGUCUCUUAUAC
This 303-nucleotide ribosomal RNA is filed under the name uncultured bacterium. RNAcentral's name for it is "partial 16S ribosomal RNA". It matches the Rfam family "Bacterial small subunit ribosomal RNA", at positions 507 to 807 of the family's 1533-position model. The record is from RNAcentral.